RNAcentral lists this ribosomal RNA (253 nucleotides) under uncultured bacterium. Its description in RNAcentral is "partial 16S ribosomal RNA". It matches the Rfam family "Bacterial small subunit ribosomal RNA", at positions 524 to 776 of the family's 1533-position model. The record is from RNAcentral.
UACAGAGGGGGCAAGCGUUGUUCGGAAUUACUGGGCGUAAAGGGCGCGUAGGCGGCCUGCUAAGUCGAACGUGAAAUCCCUGGGCUCAACCCAGGAACUGCGUCCGAUACUGGUUGGCUUGAAUCCGGGAGAGGGAUGUGGAAUUCCAGGUGUAGCGGUGAAAUGCGUAGAUAUCUGGAGGAACACCGGUGGCGAAGGCGACAUCCUGGACCGGUACUGACGCUGAGGUGCGAAAGCGUGGGGAGCAAACAGG